Molecule: ribosomal RNA, 463 nt
Filed under: Eulatocestus sp. n. JR-2020
Lineage: Eukaryota; Metazoa; Platyhelminthes; Polycladida; Latocestidae
Description: partial large subunit ribosomal RNA
Rfam family: Bacterial large subunit ribosomal RNA
Source: RNAcentral
UCCUUUAGAAAAUACUUAAAGGUAAUACCUGCUCGAUGUCAAGCUUAUAAAUAGCUGCGGUAUCUUAACUGCACUCAGGUAGCAUAAUUAAUUGUCUUUUAAAUGGUGACUUGUUUGAAUGGUUUUAUGAGAAAAAGAUCUUCUUAAGAUUAAUUAGAAUUUAUAGUUUAAGGUAAAAAUACCUAAAUUGAUAAGUAAGACGAGAAGACCCUGUUGAGUUUUAUAGUAGUGUCUUCUUUUACUAUUUAAAUGGGAAAUUUAAUUUCUAUUUGAAAUUUCUUUGAUCCUGAUUAUUUUCUUUUUGGAAAAAGGAUAAAAUUACCACAGGGAUAACAGGACUAUAUCUGCUGAGAGGCCCUAUUGAAGCAGAUGUUUGUUACCUCGAUGUUGAAUCGAAAUACUCUUCUUGGUGCAGCAGUCAAGUAAGUGGGUCUGUUCGACCUUUAAAAUUUCACGUGAUUUG